RNAcentral lists this ribosomal RNA (756 nucleotides) under Flavobacterium sp. RNAcentral's name for it is "bacterial SSU rRNA". It matches the Rfam family "Bacterial small subunit ribosomal RNA", at positions 90 to 849 of the family's 1533-position model. Lineage: Bacteria; Pseudomonadati; Bacteroidota; Flavobacteriia; Flavobacteriales; Flavobacteriaceae. The record is from RNAcentral.
AGAGACCGGCGCACGGGUGCGUAACGCGUAUGCAAUCUACCUUUUGCAGAGGGAUAGCCCAGAGAAAUUUGGAUUAAUACCUCAUAGUAUGUGAGAAUGGCAUCAUUUUCACAUUAAAGUCACAACGGCAAAAGAUGAGCAUGCGUCCCAUUAGCUUGUUGGUAAGGUAACGGCUUACCAAGGCAACGAUGGGUAGGGGUCCUGAGAGGGAGAUCCCCCACACUGGUACUGAGACACGGACCAGACUCCUACGGGAGGCAGCAGUGAGGAAUAUUGGACAAUGGGCGCAAGCCUGAUCCAGCCAUGCCGCGUGCAGGAUGACGGUCCUAUGGAUUGUAAACUGCUUUUGUACAGGAAGAAACACUGGUUCGUGAACCAGCUUGACGGUACUGUAAGAAUAAGGAUCGGCUAACUCCGUGCCAGCAGCCGCGGUAAUACGGAGGAUCCAAGCGUUAUCCGGAAUCAUUGGGUUUAAAGGGUCCGUAGGCGGUUUAGUAAGUCAGUGGUGAAAGCCCAUCGCUCAACGGUGGAACGGCCAUUGAUACUGCUAGACUUGAAUUAUUAGGAAGUAACUAGAAUAUGUAGUGUAGCGGUGAAAUGCUUAGAGAUUACAUGGAAUACCAAUUGCGAAGGCAGGUUACUACUAAUGGAUUGACGCUGAUGGACGAAAGCGUGGGUAGCGAACAGGAUUAGAUACCCUGGUAGUCCACGCCGUAAACGAUGGAUACUAGCUGUUGGGCGCAAGUUCAGUGGCUA